Molecule: transfer RNA, 74 nt
Filed under: Collinsella sp. zg1085
Lineage: Bacteria; Bacillati; Actinomycetota; Coriobacteriia; Coriobacteriales; Coriobacteriaceae
Description: tRNA-Cys
Rfam family: tRNA
About the family: Transfer RNA (tRNA) molecules are approximately 80 nucleotides in length. Their secondary structure includes four short double-helical elements and three loops (D, anti-codon, and T loops).
Source: RNAcentral
GGCGACGUGGCCAAGCGGUAAGGCAGAAGCCUGCAAAGCUUUUACCCCCGGUUCGAAUCCGGGCGUCGCCUCCA